UGAGGAAUAUUGGACAAUGGGUUAGCGCCUGAUCCAGCCAUCCCGCGUGAAGGACGACGGCCCUAUGGGUUGUAAACUUCUUUUGUACAGGGAUAAACCUACCCUCGUGAGGGUAGCUGAAGGUACUGUACGAAUAAGCACCGGCUAACUCCGUGCCAGCAGCCGCGGUAAUACGGAGGGUGCAAGCGUUAUCCGGAUUUAUUGGGUUUAAAGGGUCCGUAGGCGGAUGCGUAAGUCAGUGGUGAAAUCUCACAGCUCAACUGUGAAACUGCCAUUGAUACUGCGUGUCUUGAGUGAGGUUGAAGUAGCUGGAAUAAGUAGUGUAGCGGUGAAAUGCAUAGAUAUUACUUAGAACACCAAUUGCGAAGGCAGGUUACUAAGUCUCAACUGACGCUGAUGGACGAAAGCGUGGGGAGCGAACA
Molecule: ribosomal RNA, 422 nt
Filed under: Microvirga ossetica
Lineage: Bacteria; Pseudomonadati; Pseudomonadota; Alphaproteobacteria; Hyphomicrobiales; Methylobacteriaceae
Also listed under: 2 other names
Description: partial 16S ribosomal RNA
Rfam family: Bacterial small subunit ribosomal RNA
Source: RNAcentral